UUGGAAUAAAUGAAACUAAAUACACAGUGAUGCAGGAGCUGCAGUCCUGUAUUGUGAAUCAAAGCCUAUCAUCAGUGUCUACUGUCUGCAGAGCGAGUUGUUGUAGCAGUAGGAUCCUCUGCCAGCUGAAGUUCCUGUCCUGGUGUUAAAAGAGAGAUCAGCUGCUGAUAAUCUGCUGUGUGUUGGUCCUGGAGAACUACUGCACAGGACGGAUCUUCAUGAUGAUGAAGCAGAUCUGAGGUCUGUGAGGCAGUGAUGAUGGACAGGUGACCAGCUGCACCUUUAAACUAGCGAGUUGUUGUAGCAGUAGGAUCCUCUGCCAGCUGAAGUUCCUGUCCUGGUGUUAAAAGAGAGAUCAGCUGCUGAUAAUCUGCUGUGUGUUGGUCCUGGAGAACUACUGCACAGGACGGAUCUUCAUGAUGAUGAAGCAGAUCUGAGGUCUGUGAGGCAGUGAUGAUGGACAGGUGACCAGCUGCACCUUUAAACUAGCGAGUUGUUGUAGCAGUAGGAUCCUCUGCCAGCUGAAGUUCCUGUCCUGGUGUUAAAAGAGAGAUCAGCUGCUGAUAAUCUGCUGUGUGUUGGUCCUGGAGAACUACUGCACAGGACGGAUCUUCAUGAUGAUGAAGCAGAUCUGAGGUCUGUGAGGCAGUGAUGAUGGACAGGUGACCAGCUGCACCUUUAAACUGUGAGUUAAAACAACACUCACAUGUCCACAUGUACAUAAGUAAAGUUUUAAGGUACUUGUACUUCAGUGUUUCCAUGUCAUGCUUUGUUGCAGUACUUCUCAGAGGGAAAUAUUGGACUCCAAAUGGUUAUUUUAAGUGUUAUUACAGAUUGAGCUGUCCAGCAGCAUGUAACAACCUUUACCAGCUGGAACAUUAAGGUGAUGAACACAUGAAUGAGUUAAUAAUUAUAAUUCAUUUAUAUAUAUUAUUCUGAAAUGACCCAUUCUGCAUAAUGAGUACUUUUACUGGUGGGAAGUAAGUAUAUUUUGAUGCUAAUACAGGAUGCAGGUUAACGUAGUAUUUCUAGACCGUGCUAUUUUAAGAGUUUAAUUUAGAAAUAUUUAUUGUAUUUAUUUAUUUAUAAGAACAUGACUCUUUCAGUUAUUGUUUAUUAUGUGGAACUUCAGGGGUGCAUCCCAACUUCAGGAUGAAUGAAUGUAUAAAUGAAUGAAUUCUCAUAUGUCAUGGUGUUUACUGAAGGAUUUAAGGUAAUAAACAAACAAAACUACAUCACAUGUUCUUCAUUUGUUUCAUUUCCAGAUUCAGUGUUUGUUAAUGAAAUUAAGGGCGAUCUGCACACUUUAAGGCAUUUAUUGUGUAAACUAUUCAAAAUGGA
This is a long non-coding RNA of Micropterus salmoides (largemouth bass), 1341 nucleotides long. RefSeq lists it as uncharacterized. The record is from RefSeq and is a predicted model, not a curated record. Lineage: Eukaryota; Metazoa; Chordata; Actinopteri; Centrarchiformes; Centrarchidae. The transcript has 3 exons.